AUGACUUCGGCUCCUCUGCUGCUCGGUGGCUGCGAGCCCGCCGAUGGCAAGGGCGGCGAAGGAGAGGCGAAGCCCUGCUCGCCGGCGUGGUUGCGCCGCCUGAUCGACACGGAGGAGGCGUGGGCGCAGCUGCAGUUCGCGGUGCCGAUGGUCCUCACCAACAUGUCCUACUACGGCAUCCCGCUGGUGUCCGUCAUGUUCUCCGGCCACCUCGGCGACGUCCACCUCGCCGGCUCAACGCUCGGCAACUCCUGGGCCACCGUCACCGGCUACGCCUUCGUGACCGGUAUGAGCGGCGCCCUGGAGACGCUAUGCGGGCAGGCCUACGGCGCCCGACUAUACCGCAUGCUAGGACUGUACCUACAGUCGUCGCUCAUCAUGUCGGCCGUGGUGUCCAUGGUCAUCGCUGUCCUGUGGCUGUUCACGGAGCCGCUGCUUCUGUGCCUGCGUCAAGAACCUGAGGUGUCCCGCGCCGCCGCGGUGUUCAUUCGGUACCAGAUCCCCGGUCUGUUCGCCUUCUCCUUCCUGCAGUGCCUUAUACGGUACUUGCAAACGCAAUCCAUCGUCCUGCCGCUCGUCAUCUGCUCCAUGGUGCCAUUCCUGCUCCACAUCGUGCUGAACCACCUGCUGGUGAACGUGCUCGGCUAUGGCCUCAUCGGCGCGUCUGCCGCCAUCUCCAUCACCUUAUGGUUCUCCUGCCUGAUGCUGCUUGGGUACGUGAUGCGGUCCAAGGAGUUUAGCGAGACGUGGAAGGGUUUCUCCACCGACGCGUUCAACUACGUGAUGCCGACGAUCAAGCUCGCUACGCCCUCCGCCAUCAUGGUUUGCUUGGAGUACUGGGCGUUUGAGCUUCUGGUUCUUAUCGCUGGCUUGCUACCGAAUUCCACAGUGAGCACGUCACUGAUCGCCAUGUGCUCGAGCACGGAGGCGAUUGCCUACAUGAUCACCUACGGAUUCAGUGCCGCUGUAAGCACCCGGGUGUCGAAUGAGAUAGGAGCCGGGAACGUGGAUAUGGCGAAGAAUGCGGUCGCGGUGACGCUCAAACUGUCAGUGUUCCUCGCCUUCUCCUUCAUCCUGCUGCUGGGCUUAGGCCAUGGCCUUUGGGCGAGACUCUUCAGCGGGAGCGAGGUGAUUGUGGCAGAAUUCACGGCCAUCACCCCUCUGCUGAUGAUCUCCAUCGUGCUCGACUCCGCGCAGGGCGUACUGUCAGGGGUGGCGAGGGGCUGCGGAUGGCAGCACCUGGCGGCGAUGACGAACCUUGUGGCGUUCUACUUCAUCGGCAUGCCGUUGGCCAUGCUCUUUGCCUUCAAGCUCAAUUUCUACACCACGGGUUUAUGGUCGGGUCUGAUCUGCGGGCUGACUUGCCAGACCAGCACGCUGGUGGUGAUCACCGCCCGCACGAAAUGGUCCAAGAUCGUGGAUGCGAUGCAGCAAGAGAAGGCCAACUACAUCGCUUGA
RNAcentral lists this ribosomal RNA (1458 nucleotides) under Triticum aestivum (bread wheat). RNAcentral's name for it is "partial small subunit ribosomal RNA". The record is from RNAcentral. Lineage: Eukaryota; Viridiplantae; Streptophyta; Magnoliopsida; Poales; Poaceae.